Molecule: ribosomal RNA, 1346 nt
Filed under: uncultured bacterium
Lineage: Bacteria
Description: partial 16S ribosomal RNA
Rfam family: Bacterial small subunit ribosomal RNA
Source: RNAcentral
GACGAACGCUGGCGGCGUGCUUAACACAUGCAAGUCGAACGGAAAGGCCCUGCUUUUGUGGGGUGCUCGAGUGGCGAACGGGUGAGUAACACGUGAGUAACCUGCCCUUGACUUUGGGAUAACUUCAGGAAACUGGGGCUAAUACCGGAUAGGAGCUCCUGCUGCAUGGUGGGGGUUGGAAAGUUUCGGCGGUUGGGGAUGGACUCGCGGCUUAUCAGCUUGUUGGUGGGGUAGUGGCUUACCAAGGCUUUGACGGGUAGCCGGCCUGAGAGGGUGACCGGCCACAUUGGGACUGAGAUACGGCCCAGACUCCUACGGGAGGCAGCAGUGGGGAAUAUUGCACAAUGGGCGGAAGCCUGAUGCAGCAACGCCGCGUGCGGGAUGACGGCCUUCGGGUUGUAAACCGCUUUCGCCUGUGACGAAGCGUGAGUGACGGUAAUGGGUAAAGAAGCACCGGCUAACUACGUGCCAGCAGCCGCGGUGAUACGUAGGGUGCGAGCGUUGUCCGGAUUUAUUGGGCGUAAAGGGCUCGUAGGUGGUUGAUCGCGUCGGAAGUGUAAUCUUGGGGCUUAACCCUGAGCGUGCUUUCGAUACGGGUUGACUUGAGGAAGGUAGGGGAGAAUGGAAUUCCUGGUGGAGCGGUGGAAUGCGCAGAUAUCAGGAGGAACACCAGUGGCGAAGGCGGUUCUCUGGGCCUUUCCUGACGCUGAGGAACGAAAGCGUGGGGAGCGAACAGGCUUAGAUACCCUGGUAGUCCACGCUGUAAACGGUGGGUACUAGGUGUGGGGUCCAUUCCACGGGUUCCGUGCCGUAGCUAACGCUUUAAGUACCCCGCCUGGGGAGUACGGCCGCAAGGCUAAAACUCAAAGGAAUUGACGGGGCCCCGCACAAGCGGCGGAGCAUGCGGAUUAAUUCGAUGCAACGCGUAGAACCUUACCUGGGUUUGACAUGGAUCGGGAGUGCUCAGAGAUGGGUGUGCCUCUUUUGGGGUCGGUUCACAGGUGGUGCAUGGCUGUCGUCAGCUCGUGUCGUGAGAUGUUGGGUUAAGUCCCGCAACGAGCGCAACCCUUGUUCACUGUUGCCAGCACGUUAUGGUGGGGACUCAGUGGAGACCGCCGGGGUCAACUCGGAGGAAGGUGGGGAUGACGUCAAGUCAUCAUGCCCCUUAUGUCCAGGGCUUCACGCAUGCUACAAUGGCUGGUACAGAGAGUGGCGAGCCUGUGAGGGUGAGCGAAUCUCGGAAAGCCGGUCUCAGUUCGGAUUGGGGUCUGCAACUCGACCUCAUGAAGUCGGAGUCGCUAGUAAUCGCAGAUCAGCAACGCUGCGGUGAAUACGUUCCCGGGGCU